AUUGAACGCUGGCGGCAGGCUUAACACAUGCAAGUCGAACGAGUGGCGGACGGGUGAGUAAUGCUUGGGAAUCUAGCUUAUGGAGGGGGAUAACUACGGGAAACUGUAGCUAAUACCGCGUACCAUAGGAUGAGCCCAAGUGGGAUUAGCUAGUAGGUGGGGUAACGGCUCACCUAGGCGACGAUCCCUAGCUGGUCUGAGAGGAUGACCGGCCAAACUGGAACUGAGACACGGUCCAGAGUCCUACGGGAGGCAGCAGUGGGGAAUAUUGCGCAAUGGGCGCAAGCCUGAUGCAGCCAUGCCGCGUGUGUGAAGAAGGCCUUCGGGUUGUAAAGCACUGUCAGCGGGGAGGCGUUACCCGCAGAAGAAGCACCGGCUAACUCCGUGCCAGCAGCCGCGGUAAUUC
Molecule: ribosomal RNA, 406 nt
Filed under: uncultured bacterium
Lineage: Bacteria
Description: partial 16S ribosomal RNA
Rfam family: Bacterial small subunit ribosomal RNA
Source: RNAcentral